Coturnix japonica (Japanese quail) is the source of this 2022-nucleotide long non-coding RNA. RefSeq lists it as uncharacterized. NCBI's taxonomy places the organism in Eukaryota, Metazoa, Chordata, Aves, Galliformes, Phasianidae. The record is from RefSeq and is a predicted model, not a curated record.
ACCCCAGUGAGCCACUUCUUGCACCAGAUAUAUCUUCUGGGUUGGCGGAAGGAAGGGCUGCUCAGCCCAGGGGGAGCCAGCACGAGUGGCUGCGGAUGAAGGACAUGCUGAGUGCCAUCCAUCACAGGCUCUGCAGGGCCAAGGAAGACUAGCUGGCUGUUUGUCAGCCUGCCCCACCACAUUUUACCAGGUGGCAUCCUCCUGCCCUUAAUUAUUGUCAUUAUUAUUACUAGCUUUCUCCAGACAUAACUGGGUCCAAAAUCUCUGUGGUGCCAAGAGCUCAGCUACUCUCUGCACUGACAGCGUUCCAAGUCUGAGCUUUUCUUCCCUUUGCAAACAUUACAGAUGAAUGAAGUGCUCUGUUCCCUCAUUUGUUUUACUACUUCCAGCGCAGGAUGGCUCCAGCUUCAUGUAGAGGAGGGAAGAGCAGGAGGAGGGGGGGAGGGAGUACAACACAUCAGGAGGGCUGUACAUGCCUCCAGGCUCCUGCUCCCAGGGGACUUCCUGAAUGAAUGGAUCGUGAUCUGCUCCAUUAUCCUCGGAUAAUCGACCAAUUGUCUCUUUAAACCCUUGCACCUGCACGUUGAUGUCUGCAAAACAUUCUCAUUGCUUUUCUACUGGUGUUUGCCAGCGGAAGCUACAGGAGGGACCUCAUUAGGUUUCCAGGUUGAUGUAGUCUGUGAUGAAGAGUAGCCUGUGGACUUCUCCUGAGUGGAUCUGUGUCUCUCAUAGGGUUGCAGAAGUGCCCUCUGCCCAAUUGCAAAGCCCGUGAGAGCUGCAGGAUCUGAGUGUGGAUGAGUCAUGCAGACAGCACAAGUGCAACCAAUGGAGCCAGAUCAGACCGCUGACAAGAGAAGGUGCCUGAGGAGUGCAAUGGAACGGGGAAUAAAGGGGAUUCUUCCAUGGCCAGUUGGAAGAAACUGAAGAAUCGAAGCUUGUGUAGCCUUAACAAAACACUGCAGAAGUGGGCUGAAAACACAAGGGUAAAGUUCAUUAAGAAAAACACAACAAUUACAGCGUCCUGGUAAGAGGCACCUAUGGGGUCACCUGGGACAGAAUGGGAAGUAGAGACCUCCAGAGGUUCCUUUCUAAGAGCCUGUGAGUCUUUCUAAGAUUUUCUAUGACUGUGAUCUAUGUCUAUGAUCUGAUCUGUCUGUGCUAAUGGCUUUGCUGGUUGCUUGCCAGUAUCAGCCAUUCUGUGCCAGAAUAAUGACUUAAUUUACAAGCAGCUCAUGGGAGAAAGAGAAGGUGGAAUGUGGAGAAGCCAUAGAUUCUUCAGAGGAGAUAAGAGAGGAAAUACCAAUGCACAUGAAAAGGAGCAAUUCUUCAGUUCAAGCUGUCCGGCUGCAGGUUUUAGCUUCCCUUCCAAUGGGAAUGAUCCUUGGUCACUGCUCUUUAACCAGCCUCAUACAACACGACUAAUUGCACCCCUUGUUUGAAAGGCAGUGAAUCAAGGUAAAUGAAUUUGUUAAUUGAAGAGGAGAUAUUUUCUAGGCUUGGCUUUCACUCUUGUGACUUUUAAGCUCUUUUCUCUGUCUGUAUGAUGAAUUUCACAGAGCUUGUUGGAGAGUCCCAUCUGUAGCUCUAGAUUCCCCUUUCCAGGCUGCACAUGGCUGGGUAGCAAAUAUUCUCCCUAGGAAGAAGUAAAGACAUUAUCAUUAAUAGAAGGUAUUGUUCAGGGAUCUAAUUUCCCUCCCUCUCCCCAACCCUCCUCCUAUGUUUAGGUCCACAGGGACUAUGUAAGAGGAGACAGUGUUCCUCAAUGGCCAGGAUCCACAGGCUGCGGUCAGGGGUAUUUUAGUGGGGUACCCUAUCUUUUAGCAGCAGGAUUAGACAGAAGUGACUGAAUCAAUGGGAUCUAUGACAUCACUGUGCUGAUGUCAGAGUGAUGUAAUUGACCUCUCAUGUAGAAGGCUGAUACAAAGCAGUAUUCUUUCAAGGGGCAAAUAUCCUUGACUCCUUUAUGAAUCCAUCCCUUCUUCCUAUUGAAGACCUCCUGCCCUAUCAAUAAAAAAAAAACCC